GCUGGAAUUUUCAGGUGCACAAGCAGCGUUGUCAGCCCUCCCCUCGUAUUCUUAGGGACAGCCGGGCUAUUUUGUUGGAAUAUCUCAAACAAAUCCCAUCUGGGUUAUCAAGUGCAGGGAAACAGCCCUCACAGGUUUGGAAAGGUUGCAGAGGACUCUGAGGAAGGUGCCUAAUAGAUGGUGUCAGGUCUCGUUUAGCUGCUCACAGAGCCACUAAUGAAGAGCUCAUUCUCCAUAUGCUGCCGGUGACAGCUGUGUGUGUCCUGAUGUGCAGGAGCAUCGUAAUUGAGACAAUACAAAGCAACACUCAAUUUUCAGAAGGCUUCAAACCCUGCUUUUAUUUUAGUAUGCAUCAUUUUUAUACAUCCUUACAAGACUCAAAAGUUUACACUUUACUCAUUGGUCAGGAAAGACAAACAAAGUGCUCAUUGGAAUAGGCAGUUGCAGAUUUCUCUUAUUUAUCCUUCCUUCUUUCUUGGUUUCUGUGUCAAUGACCGUGGUAGGAAAUUCUUUCAGAGGUAAACAUGGAUCCUCUGAUCAAACUUCUCUCUGGCUCACAGAAGUCACUGUAAAACCUCUUCCACACAGGAGUGUGGUGGUGAAACCCAGCUUCCUAACUCCAGCCAGAUGGCUGAUCUCAGUCUUCCUUCAUAGAAGGCUAAUUCAAAAAUAGUGAUGUUUCUGUCAAUUUAAAAACAUUUAUUCUAGGACCCUUUUCAAUGUUCCUGCAGAGGUGUAAGUGAUGAAGUCAGCAGCUCAGUCCCCAGCCCAGCCAGCACCCGUGUGUGCUGCAGGCAGCCAGACUUCCACACAGGCAGCAUCCCUCAUUUCACACUUGUUUUAUUUCUGUUGUUUCUCAAUGCUGAUGAAACACCUCAUUUGCUCAUACCAGUGUUGUUCUGUCAUUCUCCACAGGUCUCCUCAAAGAUCCUGGUGCGGGCACUUGGGUGAAGGUUUCAUUUCCUUGGACUGUAAAUGUUCUUUGGAGUCUCAGGCACUUCCCUGCAGCAGAACUUGGAGGAGAAACAUGUCAAACACUCUCUGCUUGGGGUCAGGGCUUGCAAGAGGAGAAAAACAACCCAGGACUCUGGCAGGUGUGGAAGUGACAAUUCCAGCAGUAGAACAGAGUCAGCCCUGCAGCAGCAGCAGCUACAGUAGAAACAACCCCUCCCUGCUACAGGCCUCUCCCUGCUGUGGUCUCUGUUCCCAGGACCUGCUCACAUCACCUUGGAUGAUACCUCUGGCUGCCCACCCAGCCAGGGCAGCUCAGGGGUUGUUGGGGCAGCCACUGUCCCCCAUGCUCUGUCCCUCAGCUCUGGGUUUGAUGUCCCAGUGGCUGCUGCUGCCGUCUUACAGCCCCUCAGGCAGAAAACGGAUCACUCCAGAGCUGUGGGGGCUUUCCACAGGACACCAAGCUCUCCUCAUGGUGUACCCCACACCUUCCUUGCUCUUCUGCUCUCUGAUCCUUCAGGGAGCUGUUUGA
This 1483-nucleotide long non-coding RNA is filed under the name Taeniopygia guttata (zebra finch). RNAcentral describes it as "lncRNA (ENSTGUG00000028721.1)". Lineage: Eukaryota; Metazoa; Chordata; Aves; Passeriformes; Estrildidae. The record is from RNAcentral.